RNAcentral lists this long non-coding RNA (222 nucleotides) under Setaria viridis. RNAcentral describes it as "long non-coding RNA (SVIR_LNC009446)". Lineage: Eukaryota; Viridiplantae; Streptophyta; Magnoliopsida; Poales; Poaceae. The record is from RNAcentral.
AUUGUAGUUUGAUGAAUUUGAAAUGAAUGUGAUGUGCACGUCCGCAUUCCACCAACUGAUGUUAGUAAUUUACAAUUCUAUUUUGGCCAUGCAAAUAGUGUGAUUCUCUCGAUGGAGAUUGAACUAGACCAUUAUGGACAUAACGUACUUAAUAUUAUAGUUCCCAAGUGCCAAACAAUUCCAUGUUAAUGGAUGUGAUCCCGCAUCCAGGAUCAUUUGCUC